Molecule: ribosomal RNA, 515 nt
Filed under: uncultured bacterium
Lineage: Bacteria
Description: partial 16S ribosomal RNA
Rfam family: Bacterial small subunit ribosomal RNA
Source: RNAcentral
GAUGAACGCUGGCGGCGUGCCUAAUACAUGCAAGUCGAGCGAAUGGAUUGAGAGCUUGCUCUUAUGAAGUUAGCGGCGGACGGGUGAGUAACACGUGAGUAACCUGCCCAUAAGACUGGGAUAACUCCGGGAAACCGGGGCUAAUACCGGAUAACAUUUUGAACCGCAUGGUUCGAAAUUGAAAGGCGGCUUCGGCUGUCACUUAUGGAUGGACCCGCGUCGCAUUAGCUAGUUGGUGAGGUAACGGCUCACCAAGGCAACGAUGCGUAGCCGACCUGAGAGGGUGAUCGGCCACACUGGGACUGAGACACGGCCCAGACUCCUACGGGAGGCAGCAGUAGGGAAUCUUCCGCAAUGGACGAAAGUCUGACGGAGCAACGCCGCGUGAGUGAUGAAGGCUUUCGGGUCGUAAAACUCUGUUGUUAGGGGAGAACAAGUGCUAGUUGAAUGAGCUGGCACCUUGACGGUACCUAACCAGAAAGCCACGGCUAACUACGUGCCAGCCGCCGCUGUAA